GAAAUGCGAUAAGUAAUGUGAAUUGCAGAAUUCCGUGAAUCAUCGAAUCUUUGAACACACAUUGCGCCCUCUGGCAUUCCGGGGGGCAUGCCUGUCCGAGCGUCAUUACGCACCCUCAAGCCCGGCUUGUGUGAUGGGCCCCGGCGUCUCGUUCGCGAGACGGGCCCGAAAGGCAGCGGCGGCGUCGACCCGAUGAGCCCGAGCGUAUGGGGACUUCUGUCACACGUUCGCGGUGCGGACCGGCGCCUGCUUUGACUUUUCUGAUUAUCCAGGUUGACCUCGGAUCAGGUAGGGAUACCCGCUGAACUUAAGC
RNAcentral lists this unclassified non-coding RNA (313 nucleotides) under plant metagenome. RNAcentral's name for it is "partial contains 5.8S ribosomal RNA, internal transcribed spacer 2, and large subunit ribosomal RNA". The stretch from base 1 to 105 matches the Rfam family "5.8S ribosomal RNA", at positions 50 to 154 of the family's 154-position model. The record is from RNAcentral.